RNAcentral lists this long non-coding RNA (1021 nucleotides) under Vombatus ursinus (common wombat). RNAcentral describes it as "lncRNA (ENSVURG00010022642.1)". Lineage: Eukaryota; Metazoa; Chordata; Mammalia; Diprotodontia; Vombatidae. The record is from RNAcentral.
AGUUUCUAUCAAGCUGAAGAAGUGAUGUGGGCAAUAGGAGGGACGGCUUUGGUGACCUGGGGCCUCACUUUGUUUGCGCUACAGACAAAAAUCGAUUUCACCAGCUUCUCUGCCAUUCUCUGGGCUGUAUUUCUCAUGCUACUCCUCUAUGGAACUCUUUAUUUCUUUAUGCCCUCCUAUAUGUCCAAGAAAUCUCUCUCCUCCAAGUUUGAUGGCAUUCUGACUUUGGGGGAUGAUGAGAUGCCAGAUACAUGAGGUCAGUGGAAGACAGAUCAUGAAUACCUUACAGAGGGGUUUGAAAUGUUUUCAGUUCCCCUGAGGCAUACAGUGAGACCUCACCUGAGCAUGCAAAAGGAGAGAAGCCCCCUAGAUCAGGCUUCACCUAAGCGUAGACACGGCCUUUUGUUCUGCAUCUCAAUGAUGACAACUUGGGAGGAAGGCUUGGGAGCAGUCCUGCACCAAGUUGCAUUUGCCAUCAAAACUUUAAGUGACAGAUGAGACCCAGUAUUCCACCCACAAUCUGGAACUUCUGACUUUGAAGGGAACUCUCCCUGAGACUUUUAAAGACUCCUCAGUCUUUUGGAACAGAGUUCCAAAUAUGAACUGUAACAAUUCAUUGAUUUAUAUUUUGACCAGUGCCAAGUUGGAUACUGUUUGCCAGGGAUGGCUGGCCAUGCUAGCUAACUCUGAGUUCAGCAUUCACUGCUGACUAGAAAGGACUAACAUGGAUGCAGAUACACUGUCUGGAAGUCCACAGGAUGCUGUGGAGAAAGGGAUACACAAUCACCCAAAGCCACAUUUCUUUGUUUUAUUUUAAAUAAGAAGUUUAUUUAAACAACAAGAUGUUUGACUUGAAGGAAAACUAUCUAGGAUCAAUUUCUUUAUAGUAAUUUAUUCCUACUGAGAGACAGAGAUUGCCCUACAUGUAACAGCUACGUCCAAAAAAGUUAUAAAAUUGUCCUUGGUUUUACAAUGAUAAAAGAAAAACAUUGGAAUUAUCCAAUAAAACAAGAUAUGCAAG